CCCUGUCUCAUGGCAGGGGUUGUGGAAAUAAAACAAAAAACCAAAAACCCAACUUACUCCAUUGCAAAUCGAGUUUCAAACUAAGCUACUGUGUAGAAAGGCAGUUGGCAGAACCUUAUUCUUAGCCUAAAGAUUGUCAACCACAGACGUCUAGACAAGACCCUGUCUUUACAGUAACCCAAAGAGACUCAUCUCAUAGCCUUUUCCCUUAUUGUGUAAUUGUUAUCCAAAAAUAUUAACCAGAUGCCCAUUCUGUCUCUGUAGUCUCACUAACCAUUGCUCACUCAGAAAAAUAACAUGGCAGUGCUUCAUGCAGCAGAAAAAUCCCCGGAGUUGAGACAACUGUGAUUUGUACCUUUAAACCCUCCAGCCCCUGUCUUCCCCUUUUGUGACUGCCCUCAGAUUGUAAAGGAGGCUGUUGCAGCAGCACUGAAAAUAAAAUUGUUUUGCUGUUUAAAAUCUCUUAAAUUGAAAAUGUGUUGUUUGGGGGUCUUUGCCUGGUGAUCUUGAAUUCCUAGACCAAGCAUUCAUUGUUUUCUGCUUCUGCCUCAGGCUUCUGCCACCACAGUGAACUAACUAUACUCAGUCACCUAUAAGUCAAUGUUGCAGCUCUGAGGAACAUGCCACACAACCGCAGUCAAAACGAUUGCCUAUGGGAUUCUAAAUCCUGUCAAGCUGAUAGUAACUACAAGCCGCUCCUAAUACCUGUGCAGUUAUAGGAGUUGAUUUAGCUUUGAUACUAUAGUUAGUUGAACAUUGUAUAUGCCUUGCAGUUAAACAUGGGAAAGAGUGUAGAAGACCUGGGCUGCGUUUUGCCUUCCCAGGGCAUUGCCUCUGUGUUUAGAGCUGAUUUUCCUUAGGAAAUGAUCCCUCUAUGCAGCCAAAUUCCCUCCAUCUGCACACCCCUCAGGGGUCAGGGCCAGGCCUGUUGGGUGUGUGUUGGGGAAGGUGGUGUUCUCUUUGUGGUGAGUUAACAGAAAAUAUAUGCAAUCCAGGGCUUUCUGCCUGGGUCAGCAAACGGACCCUUUAUUCAGUGAAAAGCCAGCAUUCCUUAUGAAAAAAAGCUUUAGACAAGAUUUUCACUAUGUAUCCCUGGAACUCUGUAUGUAGCCCAGAUUGGCCUUGAUUUCACAGGAUCUAUCUGCAUCUGCCUCCCAAGCAAAGGCAUUUAAAGGUUGGGGACAACACAAUUUUCAUCAUCCAACAACCAGGAGUAGGAGUUGACUUGUCUAGAAGCAAUAGAAAACCUAAAAUUACAGAACACCUGAACAACCGGACAAGAACAAUUCAAAGAUCCGGACAUUUUUUUCAAGGUCAUUCUAGAUACAAUAUCUACAGUUCAGGAGAACACAUUUCUACUCUUGUCAUUUUAUUUAAGAGAAAACUCAUUACACAUUUCAUACUGUCUUUGCAUACCUGUAAGCCAAAAGAAAGCAUGUGAAUACACUACAACUUACCCCCAAAAAGCCAGCAAUCGUAACCACGGGCCAUAAAACGCACAAAACCACCAACGGCAUUACGACUCAUGUUACAAAUACAUGAAGGAGAACUUCAUUUACAGAUUGUAAGGAACUAUGACCAGACUUCUGUUUUUAAAACCAAGCUUAUUCCCCGAGAGGGGGUGCACCGUUCCUGGAAGUACUGCAAUACCAGGUCGAUGCGUGGAGUGGACGGAGCAAGCUCCUAUUCCAACUCCUAGCUCCAAAAAUCCAUUUAAUAUAUUGUCCUCGGAUAGAGGACGUAUCAGAUAUUAAACUGAUAAGAACAGAUACUACACUUGAUCUUAGCCAAAAGGCCGAG
Molecule: long non-coding RNA, 1800 nt
Filed under: Cricetulus griseus (Chinese hamster)
Lineage: Eukaryota; Metazoa; Chordata; Mammalia; Rodentia; Cricetidae
Description: lncRNA (ENSCGRG00015032085.1)
Source: RNAcentral